Molecule: ribosomal RNA, 253 nt
Filed under: uncultured bacterium
Lineage: Bacteria
Description: partial 16S ribosomal RNA
Rfam family: Bacterial small subunit ribosomal RNA
Source: RNAcentral
UACGUAGGGUGCAAGCGUUAAUCGGAAUUACUGGGCGUAAAGCGUGCGCAGGCGGUUUUGUAAGUCUGUCGUGAAAUCCCCGGGCUCAACCUGGGAAUUGCGAUGGAGACUGCAAGGCUAGAAUCUGGCAGAGGGGGGUAGAAUCCCACGUGUAGCAGUGAAAUGCGUAGAGAUGUGGAGGAACACCGAUGGCGAAGGCAGCCCCCUGGGUCAAGAUUGACGCUCAUGCACGAAAGCGUGGGGAGCAAACAGG